RNAcentral lists this ribosomal RNA (467 nucleotides) under uncultured bacterium. Its description in RNAcentral is "partial 16S ribosomal RNA". It matches the Rfam family "Bacterial small subunit ribosomal RNA", at positions 28 to 506 of the family's 1533-position model. The record is from RNAcentral.
GAUGAACGCUGGCGGCGUGCUUAACACAUGCAAGUCGAACGGAAAGGCCCAAGCUUGCUUGGGUACUCGAGUGGCGAACGGGUGAGUAACACGUGGGUGAUCUGCCCUGCACUUCGGGAUAAGCCUGGGAAACUGGGUCUAAUACCGGAUAGGACGAUGGUUUGGAUGCCAUUGUGGAAAGUUUUUUCGGUGUGGGAUGAGCUCGCGGCCUAUCAGCUUGUUGGUGGGGUAAUGGCCUACCAAGGCGUCGACGGGUAGCCGGCCUGAGAGGGUGUACGGCCACAUUGGGACUGAGAUACGGCCCAGACUCCUACGGGAGGCAGCAGUGGGGAAUAUUGCACAAUGGGCGCAAGCCUGAUGCAGCGACGCCGCGUGGGGGAUGACGGCCUUCGGGUUGUAAACUCCUUUCGCUAGGGACGGAGCGUUUUUGUGACGGUACCUGGAGAAGAAGCACCGGCUAACUACGU